GCGAGCGUGGCGGAAUUGGUAGACGCGCUGGAUUUAGGUUCCAGUGGUUAUCCGUGAGAGUUCGAGUCUCUCCGCUCGCACCA
RNAcentral lists this transfer RNA (83 nucleotides) under Methylococcaceae bacterium. RNAcentral's name for it is "tRNA-Leu". It matches the Rfam family "tRNA". Rfam says of the family: Transfer RNA (tRNA) molecules are approximately 80 nucleotides in length. Their secondary structure includes four short double-helical elements and three loops (D, anti-codon, and T loops). Further hydrogen bonds mediate the characteristic L-shaped molecular structure. tRNAs have two regions of fundamental functional importance: the anti-codon, which is responsible for specific mRNA codon recognition, and the 3' end, to which the tRNAs corresponding amino acid is attached (by aminoacyl-tRNA synthetases). tRNAs cope with the degeneracy of the genetic code in two manners: having more than one tRNA (with a specific anti-codon) for a particular amino acid; and 'wobble' base-pairing, i.e. permitting non-standard base-pairing at the 3rd anti-codon position. RNAcentral also lists the same sequence under 1 other name. Lineage: Bacteria; Pseudomonadati; Pseudomonadota; Gammaproteobacteria; Methylococcales; Methylococcaceae. The record is from RNAcentral.